RNAcentral lists this ribosomal RNA (245 nucleotides) under uncultured bacterium. RNAcentral's name for it is "partial 16S ribosomal RNA". It matches the Rfam family "Bacterial small subunit ribosomal RNA", at positions 524 to 767 of the family's 1533-position model. The record is from RNAcentral.
UUCAGAGGUGGCUAGCGUUGUUCGGAUUCAUUGGGUGUAAAGGGUGCGUAGGCGGUUUGGAAAGUCAGAUGUGAAAUCCUACAGCUUAACUGUAGAACUGCAUUUGAAACUUCCAAGCUAGAGUAUGGGAGAGGUGAAGGGAAUUCCCGGUGUAAGGGUGAAAUCUGCAGAGAUCGGGAAGAACACCAGUAGCGAAGGCGCUUCACUAGCCCACAACUGACGCUGAGUGCACGAAGGCGUGGGGA